Vombatus ursinus (common wombat) is the source of this 624-nucleotide long non-coding RNA. RefSeq lists it as uncharacterized. The record is from RefSeq and is a predicted model, not a curated record. NCBI's taxonomy places the organism in Eukaryota, Metazoa, Chordata, Mammalia, Diprotodontia, Vombatidae. The transcript has 3 exons.
AGCAUUUACUGUCUCUUCACCUUUUUUUUGGUGGUGGGGGAGCCUCCCUCCAUCUAUGGUCUAUGAAAGCGGAAAUUUGGAGCAGGCAUUUCUAGCUUCAAACUCCACAGGAUCAAAGGAGCAUAGGAUGACAGUGGGUACUGCUGGAUUGCUGGGCACAGCUCCCAUUAGCCUGUUUUUUUCCUCUGGAUACAAGGAGGAGAGGGCCCUGGCCUCUGAGAUGAGAAAACUGAGAAAGACUCAGAGAAACAAAGUGAGGUGCUGAUGAUUAUGCAGCUAAGGAAGCCUUUAAAUCCAGACCACUCUCCUGACUCCAAGUUCACUGGGCUAUUCACCACCCUCCCCUGCUCUCAAGUCACAUCCUGCUCUUACAAAAUGAAUCUGUAAACAGAGAUGGCACUUCUGUUGUCUGAAUUUUCAUGCCUCGUGCAAUUGGUAUUUAUUUUUUCCCUACAAAUUACAAUCUGCAUUGACAUUAUUAAAGCAAUCAUAUGGGCCCAGCAGAAAUGAAGAAGAAACACAAUUGAUUAUGUUUAUUGCUGUAGAAAUCCUUUGCUGGUGGACUGGGCAUAGACCCAAUUUCAUUUGUCUGUGAUACUGCAAACGCAGCUAAUUGCCUGUCUU